AGAAUUCAUUUUUCCUGAUCAUCUUCUCUGGUUCGAAUCACUCUGCUGCCUGUUAAUUACUCAGAUUUAGAGCUGAAGUGAAUUGGAUUUAUUGAGAAAGAUUGAUUUAAAUGGCUUAAAAAGAACUUCUGAUGAGGAGGGAUGCCAUCUAGUUUAGAAGUCUCAGAAUUCCCACUUUAACUGAAUGUACAUUUUGCCGAGAAAACUUCAUGAAAGAAGCAUUUGGACAAAUGGAGAGGAAUGGGAAAAACAGAUGGAAAAGAAAGAAUUAAGCAAGGGUAACUAUUUUGUAAUGAUAAAAAGGAGCCUGGAGUGACCUGCAAAGGCGAGGCGGUUAUUCCUGGAAGAGAUGACCUGUGAGAUGUAUUUUGAGGAAAAAGUUAGAGUUCACAAGAUUAAUAAAAGAUAAGCAGAAGAGAAUGGGACUUGGGAGGUAGGAGGGUACCCAAGGGGAGGAAAUAAUGAGAAAUGUCAUGUGUGGAAUUAACAUUUUAAAAUUACUUUUCAAAAGCUAACUUUCUUGAGGGUUUUCCUUGAGGC
Molecule: long non-coding RNA, 540 nt
Organism: Pan paniscus (pygmy chimpanzee)
Lineage: Eukaryota; Metazoa; Chordata; Mammalia; Primates; Hominidae
Source: Ensembl